UCUAGAGGCUUCCGCAAUGGACGAAAGUCUGACGGAGCGACGCCGCGUGUGGGACGAAGGUCGUGAGGUUGUAAACCACUGUUAGCGGAGAAGAAGGCCUGUAUGGCGAAUACGGGUUCGACGGUAUCCGCAGAGAAAGCCCCGGCUAACUACGUGCCAGCAGCCGCGGUAAUACGUAGGGGGCGAGCGUUGUUCGGAUUUACUGGGCGUAAAGCGUGCGUAGGCGGUUUGGCAAGUUUGGCGUGAAAUCUGCACCGCUUAACGGGCAGAGGUCGCCGAAAACUGCCAGGCUAGAGAGCGGAAGAGGGCAGUGGAAUUCCAGGUGUAGCGGUGGAAUGCGCAGAUAUCUGGAAGAACACCGGUGGCGAAGGCGGCUGCCUGGGCCGUUUCUGACGCUGAAGCACGAAAGCUAGGGGAGCGAACGGGCUUAGAUACCCCGGUAGUCCUAGCUGUAAACGGUGAGCACUAGGUGUGGGGGGUAUCGGACCCCCCCCGUCGCCGCAG
Molecule: ribosomal RNA, 504 nt
Filed under: uncultured bacterium
Lineage: Bacteria
Description: bacterial SSU rRNA
Rfam family: Bacterial small subunit ribosomal RNA
Source: RNAcentral